Molecule: long non-coding RNA, 3279 nt
Organism: Rhagoletis zephyria (snowberry fruit fly)
Lineage: Eukaryota; Metazoa; Arthropoda; Insecta; Diptera; Tephritidae
Source: RefSeq, a predicted model, not a curated record
UUUGCUACUUGUAGCAGUUGUGCUGUAUACUUGAACUAAAUAUAAUCCUUGGUGAAAAUGUAUUUGUGGAUUGUUGUUGAAGGACAUAUGUACAUAUGUAUGUAUAUAUGAAUGUAUAUUUUUAUGUACAAAACUUUAAAAAAUAUUUUUUUAUUUAGUUAGAGAUAGGGCUCAUUUGAAAGCAACAUUGUAAACUAUUCAAGAUAUAUAUAUAUAUAUCUUGUUAAAUAUCUGAACGACAAAAAUAUGGAAAUCCACACAUACCAGAUCAAGCAAGAGCGAGGUUUUCGGGAGGUGAUUAAAAACCUCCAUCCUACAUCAGAAAUUGAAGACAUCAAAAAAGAAAUUGAAAAUUUUGCCAUCGUGUUAGAAGAGUCAGCAACAUUACAAGCCGUGCAGACAAACGCCCUCUGCCCUUAUUUUUCGUGGAUAUUGAACCAGACAAGAACAGCAAAACUAUUUAUGAGAUCAGAUACCUUGUUAAUGCAGUCGUUCAGGUUGAUACCACCAAAGCAAGUUAAUUCCAUUGUUCAAUGUCACAGAUGUCAAGAGUUUGGACACACGAAAAGGUAUGGUAACAAAUCUUAUGCUUGCGUUAAAUGCGGUUCCAAUCACAAAACAACUGAUUGCACCAAGGCCAGAAAUGCUCCUGCUAAAUGUGCAAACUGCCAGCACGAACAUCCGGCUAAUUAUAGCGGGUGUCAAGUACACCAGUCACUAAAAAAAUAAAUAUAAUGUAAGCAAAGCUCGCACGACGGAGAGUCUGCAUGUUUAUACUACCACAGAAUUCCCAAAUUUGCAAAAACAAAAUUCAUUCUUCACUAGCAAAACAAAUAACGCGGCUUCGUACGCUGAUGUGGUAAAAACAACUAACCUCGAUCAAUUUUUAGAAAAAUUUAACGGUAUUGUCAACCAUAUUAACGAAAUCGAAACAUUUCUUAAUAAAAAUUGUAUAGAUAUAUUUUUAGUUUCCGAAACUCACUUUUCACAGAGAUCGUAUUUUAAAAUUAGAGGAUACGACAUAGUAUUUUGUAACCACCCUGGGGGAAGAGCCCGAGGCGGGUCGGCGGUUAUUAUUAAAACGAAAAUUAAAUAUGAACCAUUGAAAGAAAUUUGUUCACCAUCAAUACAAAUUUCGCGCAUUAAAAUCAAAACAAACACACGCUCAAUAGUUAUUGGCGCUGGAUACUUUCCACCCAGGCACACAAUUAAUUGCAUAGAGUAUGGAAAUAUGUUUAAUGAACUUGGCUCGACAUUCCUACUCGGAGGAGAUUUUAAUGCCAAACACUCUUGGUAGGGCUCUCGCUUAAAUAACCCAAAAGGUAAUGAGCUAUUGUGGUACUCCAAUCAUCACCUAUAAUUUUUCAAAGAAAGCCAAGAAUUGUGACUCCACGAACUGAUAUUUCAUUAUUUUCUCACUGGUUAGAACAAUAAUAUUGAUCUUAGUAUCCAAUUAAGAACCACUGACCAAUUAGACGACUUUGUUGAAAAAUUCAAUAACAUCAUUGUAGAAGCAGGUUUUAUCUCAACUCCACAAGAUACUUGUGAAGCAAACAAUAGCUAUAUCCCUUCCGAAAUCAAAAACCUAAUAAGAGAAAAACGUGCAUUGAGGAAAGUAUGGCAAAGAACCCAGAAUCCAAUUGACAAAUUAUUGUUAAACAGAGCUACUAAACAUUGAAAGACAAGGCUUAAACAGUUAAAAAACAAUUCUCUUGAAACCUUUUUAUCCAACCUUAAGCCUAACGCAACACGCUCCGAAUGUCUGUGGAAUGCCACAAAAUAUCUCAAAUGACCAAAAGUGAGAAAGGUUCCAAUAAAAGACUCUAGCAAUUCAUGGUAUCGGUCAGAUGAGGAUAAAGCAGAUGCGUUUGCUAAGUACCUAAAAGAAUUAUUCACACCAUUUAAUUUUAUUGAUGCUUCUGAUGAAAGGGAAGUGAUGUACUUUUUGGAUACUCCAUGCCAAAUGGAUUUCCAAUAAGGUGCAUUGUUUUAUCAGAGGUGAAAGAGGAAUUGGCAAAAUGUGGCAGUAAAAAGAGCUCAGGAUACGAUCAGAUAGACCACACUGUAAAGCACCUAACGGAGAAAUCCAUGUGAGCCCUGACAAUUAUUUUUAAUGCCAUACUGAUGCUUCAGCACUUUCCAACAGCCUGGAAAUGUGCGGAAAUAAUUAGGAUUGCUAAACCAAAAAAACAGAUAAUUUAGUUAGUUCAUAUCGCCCGAUAAGUCCGCUGGUCGCUUACUCAAAGGUAUUCGAAAGAAUUCUCUUACGAAGAUUGAUGCCAGUAAUGGAAAACUUAAAAACAUAUCCUGACCAACAGUACGGGUUUCGCAGAAACCACGGAACUCCUGAACAAUGCCAUAGAGUAUAUAAUAAAAGGUCAGCUCUAGAAAAAAAAGAAUAUUGUUCCGGGGCAUUCCUUGAUGUGCAAGAAGCAUUUGAUAAAGUCUGGCACCCCGGAUUGCUAUACAAAUUAAAUAAAUAUUUACCUGCCCCCUUUUUAUUUCUUAUAAAUCUUAUUUAAAAUAUAGAGAAUUUUAUGUAAGGGUUGGAAAUGAGUGCUCAAAUAUAUAUGAAAUAAAAUCAGGCGUACCACAGGGAAGUGUUUUGGGGCCAAUUCUUUAUUCGAUCUUCACAUCGGAUAAACCAAAAAAAUAACGAUGUUACAAUAUCAAUAUACACUGAUGACACUGCAGUCUUAACUUCAAAUAAAUUGCCGUCUGGAUCUUCUGACAUACUACAAAAUUACUUAUUCCAACUAGAAGACUGGCUCAAGAUGUGGAAUAUUAAAGUCAAUUCAGAUAAAUCGGUCCAUGUCACUUUUGCCCUAAGAAAAGGUGAUUUUCCUUCAAUAAAAAUCUUUAAUACAGACAUACCUGUAAGCGAUCAUGUGAAAUACCUGGGGCUACACAUGGACAGAAGGCUCACCUGGAAAUACCAUGUAAAAGCGAAAAGGGAGCAAAUUAAUAUAAAACUGAGAAGUCUUCAUUGACUUCUGGGCCAAAAAUCUGUUCUUUCUCUUGAAAAUAAAUUGCUAAUAUAUAAAACUAUUAUCAAACCCAUUUGGACUUAUGCGAUACAAAUAUGGGGAACAGCAAGCAAAUCAAAUAUUGAAAUAAUACAGCGGGUUCAAUCAAAAACUCUAAGGUCAAUAACAAAUGCUCCAUGGUAUGUGUCAAACCAUACUAUUCAAAGAGAUCUAAAAAUAUACACCGUCAAAGAUGAAAUAAAAAAGUUCAGUGAUAGGUAUAAAACCAGGUUGGAUAACCAUCCCAAUCCUU